Molecule: ribosomal RNA, 504 nt
Filed under: uncultured bacterium
Lineage: Bacteria
Description: bacterial SSU rRNA
Rfam family: Bacterial small subunit ribosomal RNA
Source: RNAcentral
GAACGAACGCUGGCGGCGCGUUUUAAGCAUGCAAGUCGAGCGGCAAGGGCCUUCGGGCCCCUAGAGCGGCGGACGGGUGAGUAACACGUGGACAAUCUCGCCCCCCGGCCCGGGAUAGCCCAGGGAAACCUGGAUUAAUACCGGAUGAGACGGGACCCGCGAUGGCGGGAUCCGGGAAAGGCGCUGCGGCGCCGCCGGGGGAUGAGUCUGCGUCCCAUUAGCUAGACGGCGGGGUAACGGCCCACCGUGGCGACGAUGGGUAGCCGGCCUGAGAGGGUGGACGGCCACAUUGGGAACUGAGACACGGUCCAGACUCCUACGGGAGGCAGCAGCUAAGAAUCUUCCGCAAUGGGCGAAAGCCUGACGGAGCCGACGCCGCGUGAACGAAGAAGGCCGUGAGGUUGUAAAGUUCUUUUCGGGAGGGGGAACAACCGUGGCAGGGAAUGGCCGCGGGAUGACGUGAAUCCCGGAAUAAGCCCCGGCCAACUACGUGCCAGCCGCAGC